UCAGAUAUGAAGUUUCGACUACAUUGAAUUUCGGCACCAACAUAUAUUUUUUUUAUAAAUGUUAAUAAGUCCACGUAAAACUUCAUGUAUAUAUAUUUUUAUGUCCUAUGUUUUUUAUAUAUCUCAUUUAUUUUUCUUUUUUUAUAGAAUCGAUGAGUUAUCGAAAUACGAAUUGUUAUAUAAUCUCCUUGAAUUAUUGAUUCCAGCGCAAAUUUAAAUAGGUCGCAUGCGUCGAAACAGCCCGUACGCUAGCAACAGUUAUUCAUACUUUCAAUUAGGUGACAAGAUAAAAGCGCAAUGCUAUACACGGUGAAUGGAUCCUGCGUGUCAUGUGUUGUCUAACAGAGAGGCUUAGAAGCAUCUUUUCCUUCACGACAAUUUUACGGAUUACAUAACUGAUCCUCUAAAAGAACGAUAAUAAAAUUGUAAAAAUCUUUAAUCUCUAAAAUAGAUUACCGCCAUUGCUAGCCAAAGUCAAAUCUGCGUAAUAUUCGUUAAAUGUGCUAUCCUACGAUACGACAAACGUUAUACAUAUCUCCCUAAUAUAUGAGCUAAUUCAGAUCCUUUUAUAAAUUUGUAACUUUGUUAAGUAGUGAUUUGUUUCAGGAAGAAAAUAAUUGACAAUUUCUUUACAGUGUAAAUGCGAUGUAAUCGAUAUUACCACGAAAUCAAAUUAUCGACAUGCAGUGAGAGAAAUCUCUCAGUCGAUAAAACAUUCAGAAGAACGCAGAAGAUGCAAAUGGAGGAUGAAAGGGCACGGGAGAAGCACGUUCCAACAAAAAUGGAAGAAACGCCGCGUAUGGUCUAGCGCUCGAACGUCCGAAGACAAAUUAAUCUUCGCCACGAUUCAACAGCGUGAGAUGGAAUGCGUUCGAGGGAGUAACGGGUACAAAAUAUCUUGCAUACACGAAUCGCGAGGCCACCUCUUCUCACCGUACCCAGGGACGACUAACCAAAAGAUAUUAUCGCAACACAAGGAAGAUUUGGAAGAAAAUGCGAAAUACGGAGAGAAAAG
Molecule: long non-coding RNA, 1015 nt
Organism: Bombus pascuorum
Lineage: Eukaryota; Metazoa; Arthropoda; Insecta; Hymenoptera; Apidae
Exons: 2
Source: RefSeq, a predicted model, not a curated record